This 410-nucleotide ribosomal RNA is filed under the name uncultured bacterium. RNAcentral's name for it is "bacterial SSU rRNA". It matches the Rfam family "Bacterial small subunit ribosomal RNA", at positions 30 to 441 of the family's 1533-position model. The record is from RNAcentral.
AUUGAACGCUGGCGGCAUGCCUUACACAUGCAUGUCGAACGGCAGCACGGGAGCAAUCCUGGUGGCGAGUGGCGAACGGGUGAGUAAUAUAUCGGAACGUGCCCAGUCGUGGGGGAUAACGUAGCGAAAGCUACGCUAAUACCGCAUACGAUCUAUGGAUGAAAGCGGGGGAUCGCAGGACCUCGCGCGAUUGGAGCGGCCGAUAUCAGAUUAGGUAGUUGGUGAGGUAAAGGCUCACCAAGCCGACGAUCUGUAGCUGGUCUGAGAGGACGACCAGCCACACUGGGACUGAGACACGGCCCAGACUCCACGGGAGGCAGCAGUGGGGAAUUUUGGACAAUGGCGCAAGCCUGAUCCAGCAAUGCCGCGUGCAGGAUGAAAGGCCUUCGGUUCGGUUAACGUUAAGGUAC